Molecule: long non-coding RNA, 683 nt
Filed under: Bos taurus (domestic cattle)
Lineage: Eukaryota; Metazoa; Chordata; Mammalia; Artiodactyla; Bovidae
Description: long non-coding RNA NONBTAT015916
Source: RNAcentral
GGGGUUGAAACAAGUGUUAAAUCAGUCCCUGCGAGGGUAAUACCCAUAGAGUAUAAGUUCAUGUUGAGGAGGGAAAACUGCUGGCUACCUAGAAGAAAAUGAGACCUACUUCUUUUUUGUUUGUUUUAAACAUGUAUUUGUUCUUGGUGCUGAGAGGAAAAGAUGAGGAAGGAGAAUAUGGGGUGAAAGGCCACUUUCUUUUAGGCCAUGGAAAGUGUUCUCCAGUGAGAGUUCUAGAAGGAUACCACCUGGGGACGUUUAACCCCUUCAUUUUGAUAACUCCUGCUGUUGCCCUAUAGGCAGUAUUAUUACACAGAAAAACAAGUUGAUUUUUAUUUUAAAUACGGAAGUUUCUGGGGGAAUAGGGAGCAGGCCAUUAAGUCUCCAUGUUUAGUAAUCUACCGAAAGAAAAGAGACCGCCGGGAAUCUUGGUCUGUACAGUGGUUCCUUGUUUACAUGGGGCUACUUCUGCUGCAAAUAUUAGUAAACAUUAUUUAGGUCUAAAUAGUUUCCCUUUAUACAGCACCUACUAUGCCUCUGCCAAAGUGUUUGUGUAAUGAAUAUAUCUGUGCAGUGAAUCAAUUAAUUUAGGAGUGGUGAUUUAUGAAGAAGUAGAAUAAAUGUACUUGCAUAAGUGUUUUUUCUGUGCCUCCUUUGAUUUUCCUUCGUACUUAGGAUUCAUC